Molecule: ribosomal RNA, 1470 nt
Filed under: metagenome
Description: bacterial LSU rRNA
Rfam family: Bacterial large subunit ribosomal RNA
Source: RNAcentral
AGUGAUCAGAAGUGAGAAUGUUGACAUGAGUAGCGACAAACAGGGUGAGAGACCCUGUCGCCGAAAGUCCAAGGGUUCCUGCUUAAAGCUAAUCUGAGCAGGGUAAGCCGGCCCCUAAGGCGAGGCCGAAAGGCGUAGUCGAUGGGAACCAGGUUAAUAUUCCUGGGCCAGGAGAUGGUGACGGAUCCCGAGGGUAGUUCGAUCUUAACGGAUUGAUCGGGCUGCUUAGGGGUUCCUGGAAAUAGCCCUCCACAAGACCGUACCCUAAACCGACACAGGUGGACUGGUAGAGAAUACCAAGGCGCUUGAGAGAACCACAUUUAAGGAACUCGGCAAAAUACCUCCGUAAGUUCGCGAGAAGGAGCCCCGGUUUUUACGCAAGUGGAAGCCGGGGGCACAAACCAGGGGGUGGCGACUGUUUACUAAAAACACAGGGCUCUGCGAAGUCGUAAGACGACGUAUAGGGUCUGACGCCUGCCCUGCCGGAAGGUUAAAAGGAGAGGUGCAAGCCUUGAAUUGAAGCCCCGGUAAACGGCGGCCGUAACAAUAACGGUCCUAAGGUAGCGAAAUUCCUUGUCGGGUAAGUUCCGACCUGCACGAAUGGCGUAACGACUUCCCCGCUGUCUCAAAUGUGGACUCAGCGAAAUUGAAUUGUCUGUGAAGAUGCAGACUUCCCGCGGUUAGACGGAAAGACCCCAUGCACCUUUACUACAACUUCGCACUGGCAUCAGGAUUGCGAUGUGCAGGAUAGGCGGUAGGCUUUGAAGCGGGGACGCUAGUCCUCGUGGAGCCAUCCUUGAGAUACCGCCCUUCGCACUCUUGAUGUCUAACCGCGGCCCGUUAUCCGGGUCCGGGACCCUGCGUGGUGGGUAGUUUGACUGGGGCGGUCGCCUCCCAAACAGUAACGGAGGCGCGCGAAGGUUGGCUCAGACCGGUCGGAAAUCGGUCGUUGAGUGCAAUGGCAGAAGCCAGCCUGACUGCAAGACUGACAAGUCGAGCAGAGACGAAAGUCGGCCAUAGUGAUCCGGUGGUCCCGAGUGGAAGGGCCAUCGCUCAACGGAUAAAAGGUACGCUGGGGAUAACAGGCUGAUGAUGCCCAAGAGUCCAUAUCGACGGCAUCGUUUGGCACCUCGAUGUCGGCUCAUCUCAUCCUGGGGCUGGAGCAGGCCCCAAGGGUAUGGCUGUUCGCCAUUUAAAGAGGUACGUGAGCUGGGUUUAGAACGUCGUGAGACAGUUCGGUCCCUAUCUGCCGUGGGUGUUGGAGACUUGAGAGGAGCUGCCCCUAGUACGAGAGGACCGGGGUGGACGUUCCACUGGUGGACCAGUUGUCGUGCCAACGGCAGUGCUGGGUAGCUAUGAACGGACAGGAUAAACGCUGAAGGCAUCUAAGCGUGAAGCCCCCCUCAAAACAAGGUCUCCCUUGAGAGCCGUGGAAGACCACCACGUCGAUAGGCCGGAGAUGUAAGUGCA